Molecule: long non-coding RNA, 360 nt
Filed under: Brassica napus (rape)
Lineage: Eukaryota; Viridiplantae; Streptophyta; Magnoliopsida; Brassicales; Brassicaceae
Description: long non-coding RNA (BNAP_LNC024051)
Source: RNAcentral
AUAAAAUAUUUUCACACCUCCACGAAAUUUAUUUACAUCUCUCUUCUUACUCAAACAAUUUUGUUUCGUACUCUGAAUAUUUAUACAAUACAUUAGUCAACGCAAUAGGUCAAACAAAAACUAAACACAUGUCGAAGAUGAUUAUAGUUUCAACUACUUAUAUGAAUAUAUCGAAUCACACUAACACAAUACCGUCGUAUCCAUCCCUAUAUCAAAUACAUCUAAUACACUACAAAUAUAACAACAUUUCUGCAUAACAAUAUACAAAUGUCAAUAGCACAAAUGACAAACAAUCUGCACAAAGCGCGAGCACACCACUAGUAAUAACGUUAUAAAAGUGCAAUAAUUAAGAUUUUAACU